AGUACUACUAGUACGAGUACUAGUACCUGUACUACUUGUACUCGUACUAGUACUAAUAGUACUAACUACUGUUUGAACUAGUACAAGUACUA
Molecule: transfer RNA, 92 nt
Filed under: Amborella trichopoda
Lineage: Eukaryota; Viridiplantae; Streptophyta; Magnoliopsida; Amborellales; Amborellaceae
Description: tRNA AMTR_s00172t00274690
Source: RNAcentral